This 253-nucleotide ribosomal RNA is filed under the name uncultured bacterium. RNAcentral's name for it is "partial 16S ribosomal RNA". It matches the Rfam family "Bacterial small subunit ribosomal RNA", at positions 524 to 776 of the family's 1533-position model. The record is from RNAcentral.
UACGUAGGGGGCAAGCGUUGUCCGGAAUCAUUGGGCGUAAAGAGCGCGUAGGCGGUCCGGUAAGUCGGUUGUGAAAACUGGGGGCUCAACCCUCAGAGGCCGACCGAUACUGCCGGGCUAGAGUCCGGAAGAGGCGAGUGGAAUUCCUGGUGUAGCGGUGAAAUGCGCAGAUAUCAGGAGGAACACCAAUGGCGAAGGCGAGUCCCUGGACAACACCUGACACUGAGGCACGAAAGCUAGGGGAGCAAACAGG